CCUACGGGAGGCAGCAGUGGGGAAUAUUGGACAAUGGGCGAAAGCCUGAUCCAGCAAUGCCGCGUGAGUGAUGAAGGCCUUAGGGUUGUAAAGCUCUUUUACCAGGGAUGAUAAUGACAGUACCUGGAGAAUAAGCUCCGGCUAACUCCGUGCCAGCAGCCGCGGUAAUACGGAGGGAGCUAGCGUUGUUCGGAAUUACUGGGCGUAAAGCGCACGUAGGCGGCUAUUCAAGUCAGAGGUGAAAGCCCAGGGCUCAACCCUGGAACUGCCUUUGAAACUAGAUAGCUAGAAUCUUGGAGAGGUCAGUGGAAUUCCGAGUGUAGAGGUGAAAUUCGUAGAUAUUCGGAAGAACACCAGUGGCGAAGGCGACUGACUGGACAAGUAUUGACGCUGAGGUGCGAAAGCGUGGGGAGCAAACGAGGAUUAGACUACCCGUGGUAGUCCACGACCGUAAACGAUGAUAACUAGCUGUCCGGGCACUUGGUGUUUGGGUGGCGCAGCUACGACAUUAAGUUAGUCCGCCGUGGGAGGUACGGUCGCGAGAGUAAACGUACGAAGAAGUUAGUAGCGUUGAGACGNGCCGAGGACGACGACGAGGGAGGAGG
This 605-nucleotide ribosomal RNA is filed under the name uncultured bacterium. Its description in RNAcentral is "bacterial SSU rRNA". The stretch from base 1 to 523 matches the Rfam family "Bacterial small subunit ribosomal RNA", at positions 338 to 873 of the family's 1533-position model. The record is from RNAcentral.